Molecule: transfer RNA, 86 nt
Organism: Marchantia polymorpha subsp. polymorpha
Lineage: Eukaryota; Viridiplantae; Streptophyta; Marchantiopsida; Marchantiales; Marchantiaceae
Rfam family: tRNA
About the family: Transfer RNA (tRNA) molecules are approximately 80 nucleotides in length.
Source: Rfam
CCGACCUUAGCUCAGUUGGUAGAGCGGGAGACUGUAGUGGACAGACAGACAUCUCUAGGUCGCUGGUUCGAAUCCGGCAGGUCGGA